AUUGAACGCUGGCGGAAUGCUUUACACAUGCAAGUCGAACGGCAGCACGGGGCAACCUGGUGGCGAGUGGCGAACGGGUGAGUAAUACAUCGGAACGUGCCCAAUCGUGGGGGAUAACGUAGCGAAAGUUACGCUAAUACCGCAUACGAUCUACGGAUGAAAGCGGGGGAUCGCAAGACCUCGCGCGAGUGGAGCGGCCGAUGUCAGAUUAGGUAGUUGGUGGGGUAAAGGCUCACCAAGCCAACGAUCUGUAGCUGGUCUGAGAGGACGACCAGCCACACUGGAACUGAGACACGGUCCAGACUCCUACGGGAGGCAGCAGUGGGGAAUUUUGGACAAUGGGCGCAAGCCUGAUCCAGCCAUUCCGCGUGCAGGAUGAAGGCCUUCGGUUGUAACUGCUUUGUACGGUACGAACGGCGAGCUCUAUACAGUUGCUAAUGACGGUACCGUAAGAAUAAG
RNAcentral lists this ribosomal RNA (459 nucleotides) under uncultured bacterium. Its description in RNAcentral is "bacterial SSU rRNA". It matches the Rfam family "Bacterial small subunit ribosomal RNA", at positions 30 to 490 of the family's 1533-position model. The record is from RNAcentral.